UGUGUGUGUGUCAGUGUGUCAGUGUGUGUGUCAGUGUGUCAGUGUGUGUGUCAGUGUGUCAGUGUGUCAUUGUGUCUGGGUGUGUGUGCGGUGGGGGUUUCACAAAAAUUAAAUCAUAUAAGAAAGCAGCAGACAGACACAAACACAGUGAUUAAACAGACUUAAACAGAACUAAACACAAAGAAUGGUGAGAGAGAGAGAGAGAGGGAUGGAAGAGGGGAGGAAACAUAGAGGGAAAAAGAGUCGCAGAGAAUUGGAGGUUAACUAACCCUAAUCAAUACAGUCUUGAUGAGCAGCCAGAGUCAGAGUUCGAGCUCGAUUGAAAAGUGAGGCUUGAGGAGGGAGGUGGAGCAGAGAGAAGGGGGACUCAGAGAGAGGGAACCAGGGUUAAGGAUAGGUGUAACCGGUGUGGAAUGGAGGGAGGUGGAGCAGAGAGAGGGUACCAGGGUUAAGGUUUGGGAUAGGUGUAACCAGUGUGGAAUGGAGGGAGGUGGAGCAGGGAGAAGGUACGAUUGUUAAGGAAAGGUGUAACCGGUGUGGAAUGGAGGGAGGUGGAGCAGGGAGAGGGAACCAGGGUUAAGGAAAGGUGUAACCGGUGUGGAAUGGAGGGAGGUGGAGCAGAGAGAGGGAACCAGGGUUAAGGAAAGGUGUAACCGGUGUGGAAUGGAGGGAGGUGGAGCAGAGAGAAGGUACCAGGGUUAAGGAUAGGUGUAACCUGUGUGGAAUGGAGGGAGGUGGAGCAGAGAGAGGGAACCAGGGUUAAGGAAAGGUGUAACCUGUGUGGAAUGGAGGGAGGUGGAGCAGAGAGAGGGUACCAGGGUUAAGGAUAGGUGUAACCGGUGUGGAAUGGAGGGAGGUGGAGCAGAGAGAGGGUACCAGGGUUAAGGUUUGGGAUAGAUGUAACCGGUGUGGAAUGGAGGGAGGUGGAGCAGAGAGAGUACCAGGGUUAAGGAUAGCUGUAACUGGUGUGGAAUGGAGGGAGGUGGAGCAGAGAGAGGGUACCAGGGUUAAGGUUUGGGAUAGGUGUAACCGGUGUGCAAUGGAGGGAGGUGGAGCGGAGAGAGGGUACCAGGGUUAAGGUUUGGGAUAGGUGUAACCGGUGUGGAAUGGAGGGAGGUGGAGCGGAGAGAGGGUACCAGGGUUAAGGUUUAGGAUAGGUGUAACCGGUGUGGAAUGGAGGGAGGUGGAGCAGAGAGAGGGUACCAGGGUUAAGGUUUGGGAUAGGUGUAACCGGUGUGGAAUGGAGGGAGGUGGAGCGGAGAGAGGGUACCAGGGUUAAGGUUUAGGAUAGGUGUAACCGGUGUGGAAUGGAGGGAGGUGGAGCAGAGAGAGGGUACCAGGGUUAAGGUUUGGGAUAGGUGUAACCGGUGUGAAAUGGAGGGAGGUGGAGCAGAGAGAGGGUACGAGGGUUUGGGAUAGGUGUAACAUGUGAAAUGGAGGGAGGUGGAGCAGAGAGAGGGUACCAGGGUUAAGGUUUGGGAUAGCUGUAACUGGUGUGGAAUGGAGGGAGGUGGAGCAGAGAGAGGGUACCAGGGUUAAGGAUAGGUGUAACCUGUGUGAAAUGGAGGGACGUGGUGCAGAGAGAGGGUACCAGGGUUAAGGAUAGGUGUAACCUGUGUGAAAUGGAGGGAGGUGGAUUAGAGAGAGGGUACCAGGGUUAAGGUUUGGGAUAGAUGUAACCGGUGUGGAAUUGAGGGAGGUGGAGCAGAGAGAGGGUACCAGGGUUAAGGUUUGGGAUAGGUGUAACCGGUGUGAAAUGGAGGGAGGUGGAGCAGAGAGAGGGCACCAGGGUUAAGGACAGGUGUAACCUUUGUGAAAUGGAUGGAGGUGGAGCAGAGAGAGGGUACCAGGGUUAAGGAUAGGUGUAACCUGUGUGAAGUGGAGGGAGGUGGAGCAGAGAGAAGGUUCCAGGGUUAAGGUUUGGGAUAGGUGGAGCAGAGAGAGGGUACCAGGGUUUGGGAUAGGUGUAACCUGUGUGAAAUGGAGGAAGGUGGAGCAGAGAGAGGGUACCAAGGUUAAGGAUAGGUGUAACCUGUGUGAAAUGGAGGGAGGUGGAGCAGAGAGAGGGUACCAGGGUUUGGGAUAGCUGUAACUGGUGUGGAAUGGAGGGAGGUGGAGCAGAGAGAAGGGGGAGUCAGAGAGAGGGUACCAGGGUUAAGGUUUGGGAUAGCUGAGCAGAGAGAAGGGGGAGUCAGAGAGAGGGUACCAGGGUUAAGGUUUGGGAUAGGUGUAACCGGUGUGGAAUGGAGGGAGGUGGAGCAGAGAGAGGGUACCAGGGUUAAGGAUAGCUGUAACCUGUGUGGAAUGGAGGGAGGUGGAGCAGAGAGAAGGGGGAGUCAGAGAGAGGGUACCAGGGUUAAGGUUUGGGAUAGGUGUAACCUGUGUGGAAUGGAGGGAGGUGGAGCAGAGAGAGGGUACCAGGGUUAAGGUUUAGGAUAGGUGUAACCGGUGUGGAAUGGAGGGAGGUGGAGCAGAGAGAGGGUACCAGGGUUAAGGUUUGGGAUAGGUGUAACCGGUGUGGAAUUGAGGGAGGUGGAGCAGAGAGAGGGUACCAGGGUUAAGGUUUGGGAUAGGUGUAACCGGUGUGAAAUGGAGGGAGGUGGAGCAGAGAGAGGGCACCAGGGUUAAGGACAGGUGUAACCUUUGUGAAAUGGAUGGAGGUGGAGCAGAGAGAGGGUACCAGGGUUAAGGAUAGGUGUAACCUGUGUGAAGUGGAGGGAGGUGGAGCAGAGAGAAGGUACCAGGGUUAAGGUUUGGGAUAGGUGUAACCUGUGUGAAAUGGAGGAAGGUGGAGCAGAGAGAGGGUACCAGGGUUAAGGUUUGGGAUAGGUGUAACCGGUGUGGAAUGGAGGGAGGUGGAGCAGAGAGAGGGUACCAUGGUUAAGGUUUGGGAUAGGUGUAACCGGUGUGGAAUGGAGGGAGCUGGAGCAGAGAGAGGGUACCAGGGUUAAGGUUUGGGAUAGCUGUAACCGGUGUGGAAUGGAGGGAGGUGGAGCAGAGAGAGGGUACCAGGGUUAAGGAUAGGUGUAACCUGUGUGAAAUGGAGGGAGGUGUAGCAGAGAGAGGGUACCAGGGUUAAGGAUAGGUGUAACCUGUGUGAAAUGGAGGGAGGUGGAGCAGAGAGAGGGUAC
Molecule: long non-coding RNA, 3131 nt
Organism: Oncorhynchus tshawytscha (Chinook salmon)
Lineage: Eukaryota; Metazoa; Chordata; Actinopteri; Salmoniformes; Salmonidae
Source: Ensembl